CAGGCGCGAAAACUUCACACUGCAGGAAACUGUGAUGAGGGAACUCCUAGUGCAUGCACUAUGUGUAUGUAGAUCCUACUCUUAACAAGUAGAGGGAAAGGGCUGGGAAAGACCGGUGCCAGCCGCCGCGGUAAUACCGGCAGCUCAAGUGGUCGUCGCUUUUAUUGGGCCUAAAACGUCCGUAGCCUGUUUGGUAAAUCUGUGGGUAAAUCAACCAGCUUAACUGGUUGAAUUCUGCAGAGACUGCCAGACUAGGGACCGGGAGAGGUGUGGGGUACUCUAGGGGUAGGGGUAAAAUCCUGUCAUCCUUAGAGGACCACCAGUUGCGAAGGCGCCACACUGGAACGGAUUCGACGGUCAGGGACGAAGCCUAGGGGCACGAACCGGAUUAGAUACCCGGGUAGUCCUAGGUGUAAACGCUGUGAACUUGGUGUCGGGGGUCCGCAAGGGGUCCCCGGUGCCGGAGUGAAGAUGUUAAGUUCACUGCCUGGGGAGUACGGUCGCAAGGCUGAAACUUAAAGGAAUUGGCGGGGGAGCACUGCAACGGGAGGAGCGUGCGGUUUAAUUGGAUUCAACGCCGGAAAACUCACCAGGGCCGACUGUUAUAUGAAGACCAGCGUAAUGAGCUUGUCGGAUUUUCAGAGAGGUGGUGCAUGGCCGUCGUCAGUUCGUACUGUAAAGCGUUCUGUUAAGUCAGAUAACGAACGAGACCC
This 713-nucleotide ribosomal RNA is filed under the name marine metagenome. RNAcentral describes it as "bacterial SSU rRNA". It matches the Rfam family "Archaeal small subunit ribosomal RNA", at positions 336 to 1053 of the family's 1478-position model. The record is from RNAcentral.